AGCGGCGUGAGCAACGGGUUCUGCUCCGUCUUAAUGUGCAGCAGAGUGGUGGCUCCAGCAAAGGAGCUUCCGUUGUGCUGCUGCUGCUGCUGCUGGUGUUGCUGCUGCUGCUGCAGGAUCUGUUGCUGCUGUUGCUGGUGUUGUUGCUGCUGCU
RNAcentral lists this small RNA (154 nucleotides) under Drosophila guanche. The record is from RNAcentral. Lineage: Eukaryota; Metazoa; Arthropoda; Insecta; Diptera; Drosophilidae.